Molecule: long non-coding RNA, 11611 nt
Filed under: Lynx pardinus (Iberian lynx)
Lineage: Eukaryota; Metazoa; Chordata; Mammalia; Carnivora; Felidae
Source: RNAcentral
CUGAUAUCAAAAAUCGCUUUCAGUCCCACAAGGUUAGUAGCAAAGUGAAAAAUAGCAGGAGUGUCUGGUCACAACCUGGAGGGCACAAGGCAAAACAGACCUAAAUCCAAAAAUUGGCCAAACCUCAACCCAGUUCGGCUGAUCUCCAACUCACGAGUGUUGGCAGGAGCACAGGAGGCAGGCGGUGGACAAGACCCCUACUCCCUUGGGCCAGCGGUAUGGGCCAGACAUUUAGGAGAAUCUUGGCUCUCAACCGAUUUCUGCAAACUAUCUCAUCUUUAGCAGGAGGGAAGUUGCCAUUCCAUCAUGGCAAAUCAGACUGGAUGAAGGUUCACACAUACACAAGGAAACCCCAGGUAAAUGAAGGUUUGUAUAUCUGAUGCGACUAUAUGCACCUAUUAGAUAUUAUGAUUAUUGUGGAUGGAAGGGUUUAGAACAACAUGGGAAAAUGCUUGUUAUGACUUUAAGUGAAACCACAGUUUUGUAAACACAGGAUGAUCCCAACUAGGGAAAAAAGUGCUUCGCUGGAAAAAAAGCUCUCUUUAUAUCUUGCUGGAGGAAGAAAAGAUUCGUGUUAUAUAUCAUAUGCAGCUAUGUUAUAACUCUUGGAGUUUUCCUCUAUCAGGCACCAGAAUAUUCAUAGUAUUUGUGCUCAAGAGCUGUAAUCACGGAUGAAUUUUUCUUUGGCUAGUUUUCUUACAUCAUUCCUUGUUGUUUAAUGUAGCAAUAUGAGAAAAGAAAUAAAAGUCAAAUAAAAUAAAAACAUUCAUAAUUCUAUCCUGGAUAGAUAACAUUUUGGUGUUUUCUUUCCAGAUACUUUCAUAUGCAGAUAGACAUUUAAGUACAUUUAUUUUAUAAAAUUAGGAUCAUACUCUGCAUCUGGUGACUAUAGCUAUCAGCCUCACUGGCUGGUGCCACCCCCACCCUGGGGAAGCUUACUCUCUUCUCUGGGUGGAAAUUUAUGGGCACAGUAAUUUGUAAACCAACCAAGUCUGCGUGUUGCAUCUAAAAAAGAUGUUAGGCAAAAAAGCGAGAUAAUGUGCAAACUUCUCAGUUUCCGAGGUGGCAGCCCUCCCCCCGUAAUCUGAUGAGCUCUUUGCUUUUGUCCUAGGAAAAACAGCGAAGGGCAGGAUGGCUCAUCAAAUUUCUUGCCCUUGUCAAAUGGCGUGUGAACAGGAAAAUGUCAAGUGGUCACGCUGGAAGCACGUGGCCAGACCAGUGCCUUCAUGGAGAAGGGAGGGGGUGCCCACCAGGGUUUCCUCACCCUCCUGGUGCCCAGAUACAGGCACUGACAUUAUGCCACCCUCUCCGUGAUUGAGAUGUGUGCCCACUCAGUGGGUAGGGAGGCCCCAAGCUCUCUGAUGCUGCUGUGGCAGGCAGGAAGGACACAAUAAAGAGGCUGAUGAGGACGGCUUCUUCUCUUUUGUUCCCAACCAGCUGCCAGGAGAGGUGCGAGAAGGGAGAUACCCAGUCCCUGGGAGCUGGGAGCCACUUCGGGGUCCUGUAAUGGUUUCCUGGGCUGCUGUCACAAAAUUUCACAAAUUAGACAGCUUAAAACAACAGAGAUUUAUUCUCUCAUGGAAUGGAGGCUCAAAGUCUGAAAUCAAGGUGCCAGCAGGGCCAUGAGUGCUCAGAGGCCGCUAGGGGAGGAUCCUUCCAGGCCUCUUCUGGGGUCUGGUAGCCCCAGGUGCUCCUCGGUUUGUGGCUGCCUGACUCAGAGCUCCACCUCCCUCUUGCGUCCGCAUCUUCUCAUAGCACGGUCCCGUGUACGUGUGCGCGUGAGCGUGUGCAUGUGUGUGUGAAGUUCCCUCUUCUUAUAAGGACGCCACUCAUAUUGGAUUAGGGCCCAACCUAGUGACCUCAUCUUCACCUGAUGUGUCUGCAAAGACCCUCUAUUCCAGGGAGGUUGCAUUUACUGAUACUGGGAGUGAGAGCUUCAACACAUCCUUGUGGAGGCCAACUGAAUUUAUCUUUUCACUAUUUCUGAUACAUCUGGAGAGAUGACCAUAUAUGACAGACUAAGUAUCUAAAAAUCCUACAAUUCUGCCUUCCUUACACAGCUCAAUAACAUGCAGAAAAUCUUUUUUGUGUGCCUUCAUGACAAUUAUAGCUUUGGAAAAGUCAUUUAACUUGUCUGGGCCUUGGUUUUCUCAUUUAUUAAGCAAGCUAAAGCAGUGACUUUCUUUUUCUUAUUUUUUUUAUGUUUAUUCAUUUUUUUGAGAGAGAGCACAAGCAGGGGAGGGGCAGAGAGAGAGAGGGAGACACAGAAUCCGAAACAGGCUCCAGGCUCUGAGCUGUCAGCACAGAGCCCUAUGUGGCACCCAAAUUCAUGAACCGUGAGAUCAUGACCUGAGUCAGACGCUUAACCGGCUGAGCCACCCAGGCGCCUGAAGCAGCGACUUCCAAGGUGUUGGCCAAAAUAUCCUGGUAGAAAUUACGUGUCAUUCUGAUAACUUUGAACUGAUCCAAGAAUGCAAAUCUGUUCUGUUGUUCCUACAGGUGACUCACAGACAUGUUUCGUGGACUUUCCUCCUCACAUAGAACUAAAGGCUAUUUGCCAGUAACCCACAAAAAUUUGGUAUUCGUAAACUAAAAUUAGUGUUUGUACAGUUUACUAAGGACUCAAAUUUGUUUUUCCUCCUCUACUUUGCAUAGGAAUUUCUCCAAUUUUUGGGAGGAUUCUUUUCAGUUGGUUUUUCAGCAGUUGUUAUGAGCUGUUGUGGCUUUCAGUUGCUAUUAUUCAUACUUUUUAUUUAUAAAUUACUAUUGAUUUUGUGCCUUCAUUAUCCAUUUUAGUCAGAUGACAGGUUUUUGUUUGUCCUGAGUGGAUAUUUUUGGCCUAUAAAAUUGCCCACUAUCUAGACAUUGUAUAUAAAUGAAUUGCAAAUCAGCAAGCCAUGGCUCAUAUAUCCGUAUUGCUAACGGAGAUAUGUACAUAAUCCCUUACAGUUGGCUGGUGUGGUAGAGUGACCAGUCAUCCCAAUUUGCUCAGGACAGAGGGUUUUUCUGGGAUGCAGAUCUUUCAGUGCUAAAACCAGGAAAAUCUAGGCAGGCUGGCAUGAUUGUUCCCCUAUUAUUUAGGGACACUUCAUUGGUGUCUAGCUUGUCUGUGGAUUUAUGCUAUUCUAACAAUUUUUAUCUUACACUCCAGGUUAGUAGAGUAAAAUUAGUAGGGUUAUUUUUGAGGCCAGAGGGCAUUCAUUUAUAAUCAAGUAGAAAAUGUCAGGUUCUUCUCACAUAAAUAGGAAAUGAGUCACAAAUGUUGCAUGUUCACCAAGUUCAGUACCACUGAUUCAUCUGGUUCCUCUGCAGUUCUCAUCUCCUUCCCCUGAACCCCAUCCCCAUAAUUUACCAAAUUCAGAAGAGACAUGGAAUAGGUGGGGUGUUGGUGAUCUUUGGCUCCGUCCAAGUGGGUAUAGUCAAAAAAGUUUACGAAGCUGUGUAAAGGACUCAUGAUAAUGCCCCUCCCUGCUGCAGCCAACACUGGGAGUCCACUUUGACUUGGUUCAAGGUCCUAAACAAAUGCAGAGAAAGAAUCACAGCUUCAUGAAACAUUCCUAGAGGUCCUUACUGAGAAUUACCUAAAGCAUUGUUAAUUCUCCCCUACCUUAGGAAGAUUUCAUCAUUGAUACAGUCUCCUUUGGAUGGUGUCCAAUAUGGACUUUCUUAUUUGGCUCUACUGUAUCAUGGGGAAAAAGAGGAAGGAGAGCUGCCACUUAUUUACUCUUCCUCUUCAGCAUGUCAGAACUAGGAUUAGAGGCCUUUUGCUUUUGACUUAAUGUAAUUUAGACAUCACAACAGCUCCAUGAAGUAUGACUGACCCUACCUUGUAUAUCAGGAGGCUGUGUUGAAAUUCCAGCCCACCUGCCUUCGUCUGAAUGAGCUCAAACCCUGGUGUCCACACCACAGCCCACAGACUCUGCGGUCCCCCAAACCCUGGCACUCCACUCACCUGAACAGAGGUCACUGUCAAAUUAUGAGAGGGCCAAAGCUUUAAAAAGCCCAAGCAAGCCAUCGGGAGGUUGACAACUUAAAAAUAAAACCAACAAGUUCUCAGCCUAGAACAGAAGCUCCUCCUGGGUCCAUCCGUAGACCUCAUUGCCCCCAAUUUACCCCAAAUCCUGGGUGAUCCCUCCCCCACUGCUCAGGUUGCAUUUAGGUCUCUGAUGACUCAUGGGGCACCGGGGCCACCAUGAGCGGUAGCUGAACCAUCAAUGGAGGCAGGUCACAUCUCAUCUUUUUUUAACUUGGAAUGCUGUUCUAACACAAACAUUUUUCUGCCUUACAUUCCUAGAGGAGUUGUCCUUAAAAGUGGGUAGCGACCAUGUUGUGACCUAAUUCCUACUCAGCCAUAAGGUUUCUGCCCCCUGGCAGAGGACAGACACUCAGCAUUCCAGACGGGGUUAGUGGUGGGGCUGCUAUUUAUUUAACUGCUAAUCCCACUUAUGUGAAAUUAAUUUACUCUACUAUUAUAACUCACCCUGCUUCCUGCCCUGGCGGGCUCCUAUAAUUUACACCUGACUGCGCCAUUAUGCUCCUGCUUCCUGGACGAAGAGUUGGGUCUUGGGGUGACUCACAUUAGGGGGUCGUUUAUACAGCAGGGAGGUUUUCUCAUUAUAGACUGAGAAGAGUUACUAUAAAAGCAGUGGUGUUGGGUUUUUUUUUUUCCCUCUUAAUAACUAGUUCCCCUUUAGGCCAUCCCUUCAAGGAAGUUUGUUUACUAUUAUUAACCUUCUUCCCAACUCCGAAUAUGGGCUGCUCCAGUUCAUGCAGGGUGCAGAUGAGUCUCUUCCCCUGCUCCAGGGGAAAGUCAGCCGUUGGGAUUUCACCUGCCCCGAACCUUGACGAAAUGCAGGUCAGCUGGGGGUCAUUACUUACAAGAUGUUACAAACACCUCUAACAAAAAAUCAGGGGCUGCCAACUGAAGCUCCCCAAAUCCGGGUCGCAUAGACAGGAUCUCACAGAUUUCUUGUGGCAGGGGGUGAACAAGGAGGCUUUGGCACUGAGGCUGCUGGUGACAGGGCUUUCUACAGAGACCAGAAGAAUCUCUGCUGGCUUCCUGCUGACGCCCCCUAUGCCAAGCUCCUGGCUGGGGCACACAGCCUGGUGUGAUGGUCUGAAAAACUGGUUCUAGCCUCCUGGGAUCAAUGUUCCAUUCCUGGUUCACUUCCAUUUCUGAACAGGUCACGUGAGUGCUUCAGGAGAGAGCCAAGAGAAGGGGUGAGGGAAGCCCAAAACUUGCCUUGGAUGGUCUCUGCCAACACUGUGAAUGUGGCCACUUAAACAAGUUAAGGGACUGGCCAUUCUCCAACUUGUGUAAAAUCCCCAACAUCUUCUCAAACUCCAUGUUGUCUGUAGAACGAAGCCUGCCCUCAGCCAGACGUGAAGGUUCCCAAUAUCUUGAGCCUUCAGCCCCGCCUACUUUCCGUCAUUGCUCUUCACAGAUCCUCUUCCCAGCCAACUGUGUGUUCCCCAGCUUGUUUACGUGGCUUCUCCAGUGGAAACACAGCCACUGUAUCUGCCCAUUCUCACCCCCCUGCCUUUGCCACACAGCACCCUGGAGGAAGCAGAAUGCCCUCCUCAUCCUUUUGGCUUAACCCUCCUCGCCCACCAAGUGUAGGGCAAUCUCACUUCAGCUCAAGCCCCUCUGCUGGAGGAAACACUCCCUGAGCCUACCUGCUCACAGGCAGCUGUCUCUCUGUCACAUUUCAUUGGUGUGCUCUGUGCAGAAUCACAUCACUCUGGAGAUGUUCAUGAUACUUUAUAUGUGUGUUCUUCGUCUCCCCCAACUAGAGUGUAAAUGCUUUGAGACUAGGGAUCAUUGCUUCACAUUCAUGUACAGUCCUAUACAUAAAUCAGUCAACAAUUAGUGGGACUUGAUUACAAUAUAACCAGUUGUCUACUAGUUGGAUCCAGAGUGUAGCUUCUUGCUUAGAACAUGACUUUUGGUGUGAGAAAGACCUCAGUUCAAAUCAUGACUGUGUCAACUCCCAGCUUUGUGACCUGAGGUAAGCAUGUUAAUGUCAUUGGCUUGUGUCCUCAGUUAUGAACGCAGACAGCUAGUGUAACUGACUCCUGGGUUUGUUGUGGCUUUAAGUGAAGUAAUGCAUGUGAGAUGCAUGGUUGGUGCAGUGCCUGACACAUUCAGGACUCAAUAAACAGCACCAGUUAGUAUUUUCUGUUUUUGGGGGGACCGGUGCCCAGAUGCUUCUGCUACAGCAAGAUUCAACAAAUUGCAAAUUAAUGGAGAUGUUGGUUUUAGCGGAGGCAUCCUAGACAGAAUGUUGAAGUGAGUUUAGAAGUAAAACAAGGAGAGAAAUUGGAGGCUAACUCAAUUCUAUUUCUACCAAGUUUUCAACAGCUCACAGAUGGACUCAUUUUUAACUGAUACUCCAGAUAGAGCAGAGCUCUUCCCAGAGGCAGGUGAAGAUUGACUGUGCCUGACUCUGAAAACCUGUACUUGUCACCUGACCUUGAACGUAACAAACAGCCCCUGAGGAAGGUAGUUCCAAUUACAGUCAUGGAGUCGGAGGAACUCUUUCAAGGCAGAUUGAUUUAUUGGACCAGAAAUACAGCUCAACAGCCCACACACCGAUUCUGUCUUUGGCAAUCUGCCCUGCCUGCUUCCUUCUCUCUUGCCCUGACAUAUUGAUCUGUGUGUGUGAGUUGGUGUAGUUUAUUGUAGAGGGGUGUGUGUGUGUGUGUGUGUGUGUGUGUGCUGUCUCAGAAUGGAAGCUCUUAACUUGGGGGCCUUCUUUCUGAGGGAUCUCCAAACCUGAAACCGAAGGAAAUCUCGUUGCAAUUCUCCAUGUGGUAGCUUUAAUUUCAGUCCUUUGCUUCAGGUGGGCCCAGGAUGCUCCAGAAUGCCUCUCAUCCUGUCUGAACACUCUGCUUCUGAGUGAGGCAACAUGUCAUUUUGUAAGGAAGAAGGAAAACUAGUCAUUGUUGUGUGCCUGUGCCAUGCAAAAUAUCACAAUCUGCAUUCAUCAAAAGAAACAGAGACUCAGAGGAGUAAAGAAACUUUCCCAAGUUCAAAUGUCAGUAGAGUCAGGAUCCAAACCCAGAUGUGUCUGACUGUUGACCUCAGUGAUGGCUGAGUCCAGGCUUAGCCCCAUUGAGAGACUUCCAUAUCACAGGAUCAUUUUAAAUGGAAAUAUUUUGAAAAAAAUUUUUUUUUCAACGUUUAUUUUAUUUUUGGGACAGAGAGAGACAGAGCAUGAAUGGGGGAGGGGCAGAGAGAGAGGGAGACACAGAAUCGGAAACAGGCUCCAGGCUCUGAGCCAUCAGCCCAGAGCCUGACGCGGGGCUCGAACUCACGGACCGCGAGAUCGUGACCUGGCUGAAGUCGGACGCCUAACCGACUGCGCCACCCAGGCGCCCCUAAAUGGAAAUAUUUUGAAAUCGAGGUCCACAACUUAAGUUUGUAUCAUCACUUACAUUUUGUACCCAGAUCUGGCUGUUUGACCUCUCUUAUAUUAUAUGCUGCUGUGUAACGAACUACCACAAACUUAAAACAACACCCAUUUAUUAUCUCACAAUUUUUAUAGGUCAGAACUCCAGGCAGGUUUAGUUGGAUCCUCUGCUUAUGGUCUCACAGGGCUGCCAUCCAGGCAUUGGCCAGGGCUGCACUGUCAUCUGGAGACUCAACUGGGGAAGGAUCCAUUUCCCUGCUCACAUGGCUGUUGGCAGCAUUAAGUUCCUUCAGACUAUAGGACUGAGAGCUUAAGGAGUUUGUUGUUGUUGUUAGCUGUUGGCUGGAGGCUGCUCUCAGAUCCUAGAGAUCACCUCAGUUACUUGCCAUGUAGGGAUUCCCAAUGUGGUCCCUGCUUCCCCACAGCCACCAAGGGAGAGAGAGCUUCCUGCAAGAUGGGCAUCAUUAUCUUUUGGUUAGGAGCAAGUCACAGGUCCUGCCCACACUUGGAGGGGUCGCACAAGGGCAUGAACACCAGGAAGUAGGGAACGUGGGUGGAGGCAACUUGAGGGUCUGUCCACCACAUCAUUCUUGUUCUUUCCCCUCUUUUUUUCCUUUCUUACCUUCUCAUCCUAGUCUAGACUCAGAGCUAGGGCUUUGCCAGUUAGUAAGAGCUUUACAGUAAUGAUGCCAAUAAGUAAUAUCAUUUUGUUCCAGGAAAAAAAAAGCUAGUUUCCUUUUUAACUUUCUAUUCAACUAUAACAUACAUACAGAAAACUGUAACAUCCUAAGUGAAGAGCUCCAUGAAUUUUUUGGAGACAACAUAUGCAUGUAACCAUCACUCAAACCAAACAGCAGACUAUUACCAGCACCCCAGAGCCCUCCUCAGUCUCCCUUCCAGUCCCUAACACUCCCAAAGGUGGAUCUCUAACAGCACAGAUUACUUUUUUUCCUUGUUUUUAUACAUUUAAUAAACAGUAUCCCACAGCCUGUAUCAUUUUGUGUCUGGUUUUCUUGACUCAACACAGUAUUGUGGCAUGUGGUUCUAGGUUGUUCAUUUCUCAUUGUUGAAUAGGCUCCCAUUGUGUGGAUAUAGCACAGUUUACUUAUUCAAUCUACUGUUGAUGGGCAUGUAGGUAGUUUCCAGUUUGGAGGUGUUACAAAUAGUGCCACUGUGAUUGGCUUAGUGUGGGUCUUUAAUGAACACACAUACGCAGCACUUCUGUUGGAUAUAUACCAGGACUGGAUUGCUGGAUUGGAGGGCACACAUAUUUUGGUGAGCUAUGUUUAUAUAUAUAAUCCUUCCCUCCCCUCCCCUCUAUGAAGAAGGCAUCUCUAGCCCCUUUACGCACAGCAGCAUGUGACCAGACCUACACUUCCUGCAGAGGUGCUGGAAGAUCAAAGAGGAGGAAAGGCCAACUGGCACUGUGGAGAAAGUGGAGGUCUGGCUCCGGCACUUUUUCACUAUUGACAAUGCUCUUUAUUACUUUUUCUUAAGAGACCCAUUGUUUUGGAAGAUUUCUGCCUACCAAGCUACUAAGCAAAUGUUGUUGGCUCAGUAUCAUUCAAUUCAUCUUCCAGUUCUCUAAUUAGUCAAGGACAUAUCUAACCAGCUACUAAGCUGCUGAUCUGACAACCUGCCUAACAGAGCUGAUGUAAUUUCAGAUAAGGCCAAAGAUAGUCCAGGUUUGGGUUCACCUCUGUAGUCUCCUUACAAGAACGCAGGGUUUCUGUUGGACUAUUGAAACACUGACAACACGCUGCCCUUCCCCUUUGUGAUGUUAAUGGCACUUUAGGGGAGGGAGAUCCCCACCCUCCCACUAAGAAAAUCUCAGACCCUGACCAUGUUUGAAAUCCUGAUUUAUGAUCAAUAAAUAUACAUCAAUGUACAAGUAAUUCACAAGGCAUUGAGAUCCGGCCUGGUUCAUCAUUUUAAACAAAAUGUCAAAGCCCUAUCCAUUUAUUCUGGGCUUGUUCUUAAGCUGAGAUAGGUUGUAUGAAGCUAAUAAGAAACAUUUUCCAAACUGCCACCAAGUGGCCAGAAAGACUUCAGGCUAUUGCUAACAUUUGGGUGUACUUGGUUCUUUCUCAUCUGUCUCUCUGUUUUCUGUUCUUCUCCAUCUUUCUUUUUUUCUUUUUAAUUAUUUUUAAAAAUUUUUAAAUGUUUAUUUUUGAGAAAGAGAGAGAGAGUCAGAGUGUGAGUGGGGGAGGGGCAGCGAGAGAGGGAGACACAGAAUCUGAAGCAGGUUCCAGGCUCUGAGCUGUCAGCACAGAGCCCGACGUGGGGCCCCAACCCAUGAACUGGGAGAUCAUGACCUGCGCUGAAGUCACUUAACCAACUGAGCCACUCAGGUGCCCCCCCACCCCCAUCUCUGUCUUUCUAUCUGCCAGUCUCUCUGUAUCUCUGUCGGUAUAUGUAUGAUGUAUAUGUUAUACAUACAUCUCUUAUACAUAUACGUAGAUGUAUACAUACACAUACAUAUGUAUUAGGGAUACCAUCACAUGCAAUUAUUAUGACUCUUUUAACUAAUUCUCUAUUUUGGGACAUAUAAGCUGUUUCUGAUAUUUUGCCAUUGCAAGUAACACUGCGUGAAUGUGCUUACGCCUAAACCCUUAUGGGCAUCUCUGAUACCUUCCUUAAGGUAGGUGACAAGAGGUUGAAUAACCCACCAAAUGGGUUGACUUCCAGAUGCUCGGUUUUGAAUCCAAUUAUCAAAUACAAAUUUAUGCUGCUGCCAACAAUUUAUGAGAGUGUCUUCUCUGCCCACACUAGUAAUUUUCUAUUACAAUAAUUUUUCUCAAUUUUAUAGGUAAAACAUGAUAGUUUAGUUUUAAUUGCAUUUCAUUGAUUCCUGGUGAGGUUAAAUAUUUUUCAGAUUUGCUGUCCAUUUGAGUUUCUUCUCAUUUGCAUUUCAUGUUCCUUUUUAUUUCACAUUACCCCACCGCCCACAGAAUGCUGCCCUAUGCUCCGACAAGUCUCAUCUCUGCUUUUACCAUGGAGGUAAGUAAUAUCUGCGUCCCACAGAAAACCCAGCAUCGUCCAAUGCUUUGCAGACAGAACAUGUGUGAGAAAAAUGCACAUUCACUAGGCCCGCAGGUGGCUUGGCCAGCCACAUCUGUCAUCUCUCCGACGAGGACGCCUGAAUUCCUCCCAGAGCUAUAAACCUCACUUCUCACCCGGACUCCGGACACCAUCACCCAGGGGCCAUGAGAGCAGGAGGGGCUGGCAUGUUACCUAAUGACUUAACCAGGUGAGGUUCACAUGCACUUCGGGUUUUUACACGAUUGUGCCUCAGAGGAAGUGCUCCCUACUGCUCUGGGGAAACGGGCAAUUGUAAAUCAGGUAACGAUAUGGCACUGACUUAUUUAUCCUUGUAAGAGUUUUAUGUUCUGAAGUCAACAAGGGGCCCAUCGCCAGAUCCACGGCCAAUUUGCAGUCAUCACUUAGGGGAAGCUUGAUCCCCCUUGCUCAGCCGGAGGGCAUGCUGGGGGCUUGUAGGAGCCAAGGUUACCUGUAGUGCCGAGCCAGAUCAAUCGAUCCUGUAUCUUGGUCUGGGCCAAAUGUUAUCUUCCACAGACACAAGGCAGAGACGGGAAGUCACUAAACGGUGGGGAACUUUCCCUCUUUGUGCUAAGAUGCUCUUUCUCUCCUUUCCAUUUGUCCCCUGAGUUCCUUCUCCUUGAGGGAAUGUUUGCCUGGACAGCAGCUGCACCCUGAGAGACGUGAUGGUGACUCAUUCAUGUAGAAGUAGACAUGGUAAAAGAGUAUGUGCUAAAAGACAUGAAUAGACACUCUCCAAAGAAGACAUCCAGAUGGCCAACUGACACAUGAAAAAAUGCUCAACGUCAUUCAUCAUCAGGGAAAUACAAAUCAAAACCACCAUGAGAUACCCCCUUACACCUGUCAGAAUGGCUAAUAUUAACAACUCAGGCAACAACAGAUGUCGGCGAGGAUGUGGAGAGAGAGGAACCCUUUUGCACUGCUGGUGGGAAUGCAAACUGGUGCAGCCACUCUGGAAAACAGUAUGCAGGUUCCUCAAAAAAACUAAAAAUAGAACUACCCUAUGACCCAGCAAUUGCAUUACUAGGUACUUAUCCAACGGAUACAGGUGUGCUGUUUCGAAGGGACACAUGCACCCCAAUGUUUUGUUUUGUUUUUUUUUCCACGUUUAUUUAUUUUUGGGACAGAGAGAGACAGAG